CAGAGUUGCAAGACUCCCUAAACCAUUCGUGAAGCCUACCUUCUACCGUGUGCUUCGGCGGGCGGGCGGGCCCAGCCGCCCCCCCCCGGCCCCCCGCGGGGCGCGCCGCCCGGAGGGAUACCCAAACUCUUGACAUCUAGUGGCCUCCUCUGAGUAUUCUUUAGCUGAAUAAGGUCA
This 177-nucleotide unclassified non-coding RNA is filed under the name soil metagenome. RNAcentral describes it as "partial internal transcribed spacer 1". The record is from RNAcentral.